This 271-nucleotide small RNA is filed under the name Rattus norvegicus (Norway rat). Its description in RNAcentral is "uncharacterized LOC108348854". The record is from RNAcentral. Lineage: Eukaryota; Metazoa; Chordata; Mammalia; Rodentia; Muridae.
UGAAAGAACUGGCCCUUUGAAAGAUCCUGUGCAGUUAACAAAGAUGGCAGGAUCUAAAUUCAGUAAGAAGAAUUAUAAAGGAAACUUCAAAUACAAAACAGCAAGUCACAAAUGGAACCGUCUAGGUUACCUUCAAGUGGCAGCCCGACAAUGAUACAUUUUCCCCUUCUUGUGGAUCCAUGUCUGUGCAAACAUAAUAUAUUCUGUAGGUAAGAUCUAGCUAUGGCAGUCAUGUUUCCAAUUGACCUCCAUUGACACUUGCUUCUAGUGA